GAUGAAGAACGUAGCGAAAUGCGAUAAGUAAUGUGAAUUGCAGAAUUCAGUGAAUCAUCGAAUCUUUGAACGCACCUUGCACCCUUUGGCAUUCCGAAGGGUAUGCUCGUUUGAGUGUCAUUGUACUCUCACUCUCCCGAUGCUUUUGGAUCGGGAGUGGUGGACUUGGGUGUUGCUGCUUUGCUGUGGCUCGCCUCAAAUGGGGUAGUGCAACUCUUGGUUGGACAUAGUACGGCGUGAUAAGUGUCUUCGCCGGCGCCUCAUUAUAGAGGGUGGCCGAUCGGGAGCUCUGUGCUUCAAACCGUCUUCGGACAACAUCUGACAACUUGACCUCAAAUCGAGUAGGACUACCCGCUGAACUUAAGCAUAUCAAUAAGCGGAGGA
This 384-nucleotide unclassified non-coding RNA is filed under the name soil metagenome. RNAcentral's name for it is "partial contains 5.8S ribosomal RNA, internal transcribed spacer 2, and large subunit ribosomal RNA". The stretch from base 1 to 120 matches the Rfam family "5.8S ribosomal RNA", at positions 35 to 154 of the family's 154-position model. The record is from RNAcentral.